Ostrinia nubilalis (European corn borer) is the source of this 130-nucleotide small nucleolar RNA. The record is from RefSeq and is a predicted model, not a curated record. NCBI's taxonomy places the organism in Eukaryota, Metazoa, Arthropoda, Insecta, Lepidoptera, Crambidae.
UUGGGCCUUUAUCGAAGCUAACAUUAUUUCUGUAAAUAUGCUAGUCAAAACAAGGCCGAGACGAAAUGCCCCUAUACGGUCGCGGUCUAGACAACGUGUCUCUAACGUAUCACCAAUGGGGCAUACAAUU